RNAcentral lists this ribosomal RNA (358 nucleotides) under Escherichia coli. Its description in RNAcentral is "partial 23S ribosomal RNA". It matches the Rfam family "Bacterial large subunit ribosomal RNA", at positions 1 to 386 of the family's 2925-position model. Lineage: Bacteria; Pseudomonadati; Pseudomonadota; Gammaproteobacteria; Enterobacterales; Enterobacteriaceae. The record is from RNAcentral.
GGGUUGUGAGGUUAAGCGACUAAGCGUACACGGUGGAUGCCCUGGCAGUCAGAGGCGAUGAAGGACGUGCUAAUCUGCGAUAAGCGUCGGUAAGGUGAUAUGAACCGUUAUAACCGGCGAUUUCCGAAUGGGGAAACCCAGUGUGUUUCGACACACUAUCAUUAACUGAAUCCAUAGGUUAAUGAGGCGAACCGGGGGAACUGAAACAUCUAAGUACCCCGAGGAAAAGAAAUCAACCGAGAUUCCCCCAGUAGCGGCGAGCGAACGGGGAGSAGCCCAGAGCCUGAAUCAGUGUGUGUGUUAGUGGAAGCGUCUGGAAAGGCGCGCGAUACAGGGUGACAGCCCCGUACACAAAAAU